RNAcentral lists this ribosomal RNA (499 nucleotides) under uncultured bacterium. Its description in RNAcentral is "partial 16S ribosomal RNA". It matches the Rfam family "Bacterial small subunit ribosomal RNA", at positions 28 to 507 of the family's 1533-position model. The record is from RNAcentral.
GACGAACGCUGGCGGCGUGCUUAACACAUGCAAGUCGAACGGGCCUGUCUUCUUUUUUGGGGGUGGGUUGAGUGGCGAACGGGUGAGUAUCACGUGAGUAACCUGCCCUUCGGUCCUGGAUAACCGCUUGAAAGGGCGGCUAAUACGGGGUGGUCCGGUUGGUCCGCAUGGGCUGGUCGGGAUAGAUUCACUGUUUUUGGGGUUUCGGCGGGGGAUGGGCUCGCGGCCUAUCAGCUUGUUGGGGGGGUGAUGGCCUACCAAGGCGGUGACGGGUAGCCGGCCUGAGAGGGUGGGCGGCCACACUGGGACUGAGAUACGGCCCAGACUCCUGCGGGAGGCAGCAGUGGGGGGUAUUGCACAAUGGGCGGAAGCCUGAUGCAGCGACGUCGCGUGAGGGAUGGAGGCCUUCGGGUUGUGAACCUCUGUUUCCGGUGGUGAAGGCCCUGUCCGUGUGGUGGGGUUGACGGUAGCCGGGGAUGAAGCGCCGGCUAACUACGUG